GCGGGGGUAGCCAAGCGGUCAACGGCGACAGACUCAAGAUCUGUUCUCGAAGGAGUUCAUGGGUUCGAAUCCCCUCCCCCGCA
Molecule: transfer RNA, 83 nt
Filed under: Methanobacteriota archaeon
Lineage: Archaea; Methanobacteriati; Methanobacteriota
Also listed under: 2 other names
Description: Euryarchaeota archaeon tRNA-Leu
Rfam family: tRNA
About the family: Transfer RNA (tRNA) molecules are approximately 80 nucleotides in length. Their secondary structure includes four short double-helical elements and three loops (D, anti-codon, and T loops).
Source: RNAcentral